Molecule: long non-coding RNA, 2089 nt
Filed under: Marmota monax (woodchuck)
Lineage: Eukaryota; Metazoa; Chordata; Mammalia; Rodentia; Sciuridae
Source: RNAcentral
GAACAACUAAUGCCAAUACUCCUUAAAUUAUUCCAUGAAAUAGAAAGGGAUGGAACACUUCCAAAUUAAUUCUAUGAAGCAAGUAUCACACUCAUGCCAAUACCAGAUAAGGACACAUCAAGGAAAAAAAUGAUAGAUCAAUAUAUCUAAUGAGCUUAGAUGUAAAAAUUCUUAAUAAAGUAUUAGCAAAUCAUGUUCCAUAACAUAUUAAGAUUAUACAUCAUGACAGUCUUUGGUUUUAUCUGAGAUGCAAAGAUGGUUUAACAUACACAAACAAUAAAUGUAAUUCAUCAUAUGAAUAGGAUUAAGGACAAAGAUCACUUAGUCAUCUCAAUAGAUGGCAGAGAAAGCCUUCAACAAAAUUCAGCACCUGUUCAUGAUAAAAACACACAAUAAACUAGGGAUAGAAGGCGAGUACCUCAACAUUAUAAAGGCUAUUUAUGAAAAAGCCAGAGCCAACCUUUAUUUGGGGGUUCACGGUUUCAGAGGUCUCAGUCCAUAGAAAAUGGGGAAAAAAAUGAAAGCAUGUACUUUAAAAUCUGGAACAAGUCUACUCUCACCACUCCUAUUUAAUAUAGUGCUAGAAAUUCUAUCCAGAGCAAUUAGGCAAGAGAAGGAAAUAAAAGGGAUAAAAAUAGAAAGGAAGAAGUCAAAUUAUCACAAUUUGCUAAUGAUAUGAUCCUGCAUUUAGAAGAUCCAAACAAAACAAAACAAACAAACAAACAAACAAACCACAAACAAACAAACUCCACCAAAAGAGUGCUAGAGGUUUUUGGCAAAGCAUGUUGGAGAAAAGACAGCCUUUUAAACAAAUAGUGCUGGGGAAAAUGUUUGUCCUUAUGUAGAAGAAUGAAACUGGACCCUUAUCUCUCACCCUGCACAAAAUCAAUGCAAAGUGGAUAAAAGAUCCAGGAAUAAGACCAGAAACUAUGCAACUCCUAGAAGAAACUGUAGGGCCAACACUCCAAUGCAUAGGCACAGGCAACAACUUUCUCAAUAGAAUACCCAAAGGUCAGGAAAUAAUGCCAAAAGUUAACAAAUGGAAUGGCAUCAAAUUAGAAAAAACUUCUUAACAGCAAAGAAAACAAUUAAGAAUGAGAAGAGAGAGAACCUAUAGAAUGGAAGAAAAUCUUUGCUAGCUACUCUUCUGUCAGAGGAUUAUAUCUAGAAUACACAACUCAAAAAAUUAAAAUAAAAAAUCUGAAAACCCCAAUUAAUAAAUGGGCAAAUAAAAAUUGGUGCAACCACUAUGGAAAGAAGUAUGGAGAUUCCUCAGAAAACUUGGAAUGGAACCACCAUUUAUCCAUUAUCCCACUCCUCAGUACAUGCCCAAAGGACUUAAAAUCAGCAUACUACAAUAACAUAGCCACAUCAAUGUUUAUAGCAGCUCAAUUCACAAUAGUCAAGCUAUGGAAUCAACCUAGGUGCCCUACAACAGAUGAAUGGAUAAGGAAAAUGUGAUAUACAUACACAACAGAUUAUUAGUCAGCCAUGAAGAAAAAGGAAAUUAUGGCAUUUGCCAGUAAAUGGAAAUGAAAUAAGCCAGUUCCCAAAAAAUUAAAGGCCAAAUGUUCUCUCUGAUAUGUGGAUGCUAGCCCACAACAAAGGAGGGUAGGAAGGGGGAAGAAUAGAAGUUCAUUGGAUAAAACAAAGGGGAAUGAAGGGAAGGAAGGAGUGAUGGGAAUAGCAAAGGGAGUAGAAUGAAUCGGAUAUAACUUUCCUAUGCUCACAAAUGACUUAUUUGUGACCAUUAUGUUAAGUGAAAUAAGUUUCACACCAUCAGUGAAGCCUCACAUCAUGUACAACCACAAGAAUGGGAUCCUAACUAGAAUAGUUAUAUUCCAUGUAUGUAUGAUGUAUCAAAAUACACUCUACUGUUUAUGUUUAUCUAAAAAGAACAAAUAAAAAAUGGGCAAAUGAAUUAAAUAGAUAUUUCUUAAAAGAAGAAAUAUAAAUGGCCAACAAAUAUGUGAAAAAUAUGUUAAACAUCUUUAGUAAUAAGGGAAAUGCAAAUCAACACUACACUGAGAUUUUAUCACACCAGUCAGAAGGGCAGUCAUGAAGAAACAAACAAUCAUCAAUGCACAAG